RNAcentral lists this ribosomal RNA (342 nucleotides) under Streptococcus mitis. RNAcentral's name for it is "bacterial SSU rRNA". It matches the Rfam family "Bacterial small subunit ribosomal RNA", at positions 28 to 362 of the family's 1533-position model. Lineage: Bacteria; Bacillati; Bacillota; Bacilli; Lactobacillales; Streptococcaceae. The record is from RNAcentral.
GACGAACGCUGGCGGCGUGCCUAAUACAUGCAAGUAGAACGCUGAAGGAGGAGCUUGCUUCUCUGGAUGAGUUGCGAACGGGUGAGUAACGCGUAGGUAACCUGCCUGGUAGCGGGGGAUAACUAUUGGAAACGAUAGCUAAUACCGCAUAAGAGUAGAUGUUGCAUGACAUUUGCUUAAAAGGUGCAAUUGCAUCACUACCAGAUGGACCUGCGUUGUAUUAGCUAGUUGGUGGGGUAACGGCUCACCAAGGCGACGAUACAUAGCCGACCUGAGAGGGUGAUCGGCCACACUGGGACUGAGACACGGCCCAGACUCCUACGGGAGGCAGCAGUAGGGAAU